GCCAGGCGUGGUGGUGCAUGCCUGUAAUUCCAGCUACUCGGGAGGCUGAGACAGGAGAAUCGCUUGAACCCGGGAGGCGGAGGUUGCAGUGAGCCGAGAUCGCGCCACUGCACUCCAGCCUGGGCGACACAGCGAGACUCUGUCUCAA
Molecule: unclassified non-coding RNA, 148 nt
Organism: Macaca fascicularis (crab-eating macaque)
Lineage: Eukaryota; Metazoa; Chordata; Mammalia; Primates; Cercopithecidae
Rfam family: Metazoan signal recognition particle RNA
About the family: The signal recognition particle (SRP) is a universally conserved ribonucleoprotein. It is involved in the co-translational targeting of proteins to membranes. The eukaryotic SRP consists of a 300-nucleotide 7S RNA and six proteins: SRPs 72, 68, 54, 19, 14, and 9.
Source: Ensembl